This 742-nucleotide long non-coding RNA is filed under the name Bos indicus x Bos taurus (hybrid cattle). RNAcentral's name for it is "lncRNA (ENSBIXG00000020658.1)". The record is from RNAcentral. Lineage: Eukaryota; Metazoa; Chordata; Mammalia; Artiodactyla; Bovidae.
GGGAUGAGAGGCCACUUGCAGAGAGAAGCCACAGGCAGCAGAACGAGCCCUUUGGUCUCCCUGGUGGUCUCUCGAAGACCUUUCCAGAGGCAUCACGGAAGAGCAGGGAAGCCAAGGGAGCCAGAGGGCCACCUGCCCCAGCACCCUCUUCACAGGAGCCAUUAAUUGCUUUUUCAAGAUAUGUCUGAAGCGAGGACAAAAGCAAAGAACUUCAUUUGGGAAUUUGGUGUAGUGAUAAAGGAGGGAAGAGAGAAAGCAGAAGUGCCCAGUGGCUUUUUCCUUCUGUGCUAUUCAACAAGGCAGCCCAGUGUUCAACCCUAAAGAAGGUAAAACAAACAACGCAAAGAGGGAAUUUCAGUUUCAGAUAGGCUCUUGCCUAUUGAGCUAGUGAGAGACAGCCUAGUCACUUCAAGUGGCCUCAAGAAUCCAGGCCAGUAUGAAUUGGAUUACAGGGCCUCAAGGAAUUUCAGAAUCACUAACAGUCAUCUUUGAGAGAUUAUGAGAAGCAGAAAAAUAAUAAUGGAAGACUGAGGAGAGUAAGGGAUUGUCAGAGAAAGUAAUAUUUGCUCUUUGCUGCUACAGAGAACCAAAGCAAAACCAAUGAAUUUCAGUUAUAAAUAGAUAUGAGUGUCAAUGAAAGGAGGGAAGUUAUAUGUGGAAUCUUAAAAAGGUGGUGGGGGGCGGGUGUACAAAUGAACUUAUUUGCAAAACAGAAAUAGAGUUACAGAUGUAGUAAACAAAC